Molecule: ribosomal RNA, 380 nt
Filed under: uncultured eukaryote
Lineage: Eukaryota
Description: partial 18S ribosomal RNA
Rfam family: Eukaryotic small subunit ribosomal RNA
Source: RNAcentral
CAAUAGCGUAUAUUAAAGUUGUUGCGGUUAAAAAGCUCGUAGUUGGAUUUCUGCUGAGAACGACCGGUCCGCCCUCUGGGUGUGUAUCUGGCUCUUUCUUGGCAUCUUCUUGGUGAACAUUGCUGCACUUGACUGUGUGGAGCGCUACCCAGGACUUUUACUUUGAGGAAAUUAGAGUGUUUCAAGCAGGCAUACGCCUUGAAUACAUUAGCAUGGAAUAAUAAGAUAGGACCUCGGUUCUAUUUUGUUGGUUUCUAGAGCUGAGGUAAUGAUUAAUAGGGAUAGUUGGGGGCAUUCGUAUUUAACUGUCAGAGGUGAAAUACUUGGAUUUGUUAAAGACGGACUACUGCGAAAGCAUUUGCCAAGGAUGUUUUCAUUGA